This 407-nucleotide ribosomal RNA is filed under the name uncultured bacterium. RNAcentral's name for it is "partial 16S ribosomal RNA". It matches the Rfam family "Bacterial small subunit ribosomal RNA", at positions 30 to 526 of the family's 1533-position model. The record is from RNAcentral.
AUUGAACGCUGGCGGCAGGCCUAACACAUGAAAGUCGAGCGGAGCGACGGACGGGUGAGUAAUGCCUAGGAAUCUGCCUGGUAGUGGGGGAUAACAUCCGGCAACGGGCGCUAAUACCGCAUAAUAUCAGCUGAGCCUAGGUCGGAUUAGCGAGUUGGUGUGGUAAAGGCCUACCAAGGAGACGAUCCGGAACCGGUCUGAGAGGAUGAGCAGUCACACUGGAACGGAGACACGGUCCAGACUCCUACGGUAGGCAGCAGUGGGGAAUAUUGGACAAUGGGCGAAAGCCUGAUGCAGCCAUGCCGCGUGUGUGAAGAAGGUCUUCGGAUUGUAAAGCACUUUAAGUUGGGAGGCGUUACCAACAGAAUAAGCACCGGCUAACUACGUGCCAGCAGCCGCGGUAAUAC